ACACGACCGUACCGCAAACCGACACUGGUGCGCGAGAUGAGUAUUCUAAGGCGCUUGAGAGAACUCAGGAGAAGGAACUCGGCAAAUUGACACCGUAACUUCGGAAGAAGGUGUGCCUUUAGUAGGUGAAGUCCCUCGCGGAUGGAGCCCAAUGAGGUUGCAAAAAAUCGGUGGCUGCGACUGUUUAUUAAAAACACAGCACUCUGCAAACACGAAAGUGGACGUAUAGGGUGUGACGCCUGCCCGGUGCUGGAAGAUUAAAUGAUGGGGUGCAAGCUCUUGAUUGAAGUCCCAGUAAACGGCGGCCGUAACGAUAACGGUCCUAAGGUAGCGAAAUUCCUUGUCGGGUAAGUUCCGACCUGCACGAAUGGCGUAACGACGCCACACUGUCUCCUCCUGAGACUCAGCGAAGUUGAAAUGUUUGUGAUGAUGCAAUCUCCCCGCGGAAAGACGGAAAGACCCCAUGAACCUUUACUGUAGCUUUGUAUUGGACUUUGAACAGAUCUGUGUAGGAUAGGUGGGAGGCUUUGAAGCAGGGUCGCUAGAUCUUGUGGAGCCAACGUUGAAAUACCACCCUGGUGUGUUUGAGGUUCUAACCUAGGCCCGUAAUCCGGGUUGGGGACAGUGCAUGGUAGGCAGUUUGACUGGGGCGGUCUCCUCCCAAAGUGUAACGGAGGAGUUCGAAGGUACGCUAGUUACGGUCGGACAUCGUGACGAUAGUGCAAUGGCAUAAGCGUGCUUAACUGCGAGACUGACAAGUCGAGCAGAUGCGAAAGCAGGACAUAGUGAUCCGGUGGUUCUGUAUGGAAGGGCCAUCGCUCAACGGAUAAAAGGUACUCUGGGGAUAACAGGCUGAUACCGCCCAAGAGUUCAUAUCGACGGCGGUGUUUGGCACCUCGAUGUCGGCUCAUCUCAUCCUGGGGCUGUAGCCGGUCCCAAGGGUAUGGCUGUUCGCCAUUUAAAGAGGUAUGUGAGCUGGGUUUAAAACGUCGUGAGACAGUUUGGUCCCUAUCUUCCGUGGGCGCUGCAGAUUUGAGGAAGCCUGCUCCUAGUACGAGAGGACCGGAGUGGACGCACCUCUGGUGUAUCGGUUGUCGCGCCAGUGGCAUUGCCGAGUAGCUAUGUGCGGAAGAGAUAACCGCUGAAAGCAUCUAAGCGGGAAACUCGUUUCAAGAUGAGAUCUGCCGGGGCCUUGAGCCCCCUGAAGAGUCGUUCAAGACCAGGACGUUGAUAGGUCGGGUGUGGAAGCGCAGUAAUGCGUUAAGCUAACCGAUACUAAUUGCUCGUGCGGCUUGAUC
This 1298-nucleotide ribosomal RNA is filed under the name metagenome. RNAcentral's name for it is "bacterial LSU rRNA". It matches the Rfam family "Bacterial large subunit ribosomal RNA", at positions 1636 to 2925 of the family's 2925-position model. The record is from RNAcentral.